Molecule: ribosomal RNA, 221 nt
Filed under: uncultured bacterium
Lineage: Bacteria
Description: partial 16S ribosomal RNA
Rfam family: Bacterial small subunit ribosomal RNA
Source: RNAcentral
UACGUAGGGUGCAAGCGUUGUCCGGAAUUAUUGGCGUAAAGAGCUCGUAGGCGGUCUGUCGCGUCUGCUGUGAAAACUCAGGGCUUAACCCUGAGCUUGCAGUGGGUACGGGCAGACUAGAGUGCGGUAGGGGAGACUGGAAUUCCUGGUGUAGCGGUGAAAUGCGCAGAUAUCAGGAGGAACACCGGUGGCGAAGGCGGUCUGCUGGGGUGAGGCUGACG